CAUGCCGUAAACGGUGGGCGCUAGGUGUAGGGGUCUUCCACGACUUCUGUGCCGUAGCUAACGCAUUAAGCGCCCCGCCUGGGGAGUACGGCCGCAAGGCUAAAACUCAAAGGAAUUGACGGGGGCCCGCACAAGCGGCGGAGCAUGUGGAUUAAUUCGAUGCAACGCGAAGAACCUUACCUGGGCUUGACAUAUACGGGACCGGGCCAGAGAUGGUCCUUCCCUUGUGGCUCGUAUACAGGUGG
RNAcentral lists this ribosomal RNA (245 nucleotides) under uncultured Corynebacterium sp. RNAcentral describes it as "partial 16S ribosomal RNA". It matches the Rfam family "Bacterial small subunit ribosomal RNA", at positions 796 to 1041 of the family's 1533-position model. Lineage: Bacteria; Bacillati; Actinomycetota; Actinomycetes; Mycobacteriales; Corynebacteriaceae. The record is from RNAcentral.